CCUACGGUCUGCAGCAGUGGGGAAUAUUGCACAAUGGGCGCAAGCCUGAUGCAGCCAUGCCGCGUGUGUGAAGAAGGCCUUCGGGUUGUAAAGCACUUUCAGCGGGGAGGAAGGCGAUAGGGUUAAUAACCUUGUCGAUUGACGUUACCCGCAGAAGAAGCACCGGCUAACUCCGUGCCAGCAGCCGCGAUAAUACGGAGGGUGCAAGCGUUAAUCGGAAUUACUGGGCGUAAAGCGCACGCAGGCGGUCUGUCAAGUCGGAUGUGAAAUCCCCGGGCUCAACCUGGGAACUGCAUUCGAAACUGGCAGGCUAGAGUCUUGUAGAGGGGGGUGGAAUUCCAGGUGUAGCGGUGAAAUGCGUAGAGAUCUGGAGGAAUACCGGUGGCGAAGGCGGCCCCCUGGACAAAGACUGACGCUCAGGUGCGAAAGCGUGGGGAGCAAACAGGAUUAGAUACCCCUGUAGUC
RNAcentral lists this ribosomal RNA (465 nucleotides) under uncultured bacterium. RNAcentral describes it as "bacterial SSU rRNA". It matches the Rfam family "Bacterial small subunit ribosomal RNA", at positions 338 to 795 of the family's 1533-position model. The record is from RNAcentral.